This 253-nucleotide ribosomal RNA is filed under the name uncultured bacterium. RNAcentral's name for it is "partial 16S ribosomal RNA". It matches the Rfam family "Bacterial small subunit ribosomal RNA", at positions 524 to 776 of the family's 1533-position model. The record is from RNAcentral.
UACGGAGGGUGCAAGCGUUAAUCGGAAUUACUGGGCGUGAAGCGCACGCAGGUGGCUGAGUCAGUCGAUUGUGAAAGCCCUGGGCUUAACCUGGGAAUUGCAGUCGAUACUACUCGGCUCGAGUAUGGGAGAGGGCAGUGGAAUUCCCGGUGUAGCGGUGAAAUGCGUAGAUAUCGGGAGGAACAUCAGUGGCGAAGGCGGCUGCCUGGCCCAAUACUGACACUCAGGUGCGACAGCGUGGGGAGCAAACAGG